RNAcentral lists this signal recognition particle RNA (285 nucleotides) under Saimiri boliviensis boliviensis (Bolivian squirrel monkey). RNAcentral describes it as "Metazoan signal recognition particle RNA (ENSSBOG00000003937.1)". It matches the Rfam family "Metazoan signal recognition particle RNA". Rfam says of the family: The signal recognition particle (SRP) is a universally conserved ribonucleoprotein. It is involved in the co-translational targeting of proteins to membranes. The record is from RNAcentral. Lineage: Eukaryota; Metazoa; Chordata; Mammalia; Primates; Cebidae.
GCUGGACGCAGUGACUGUAGUCCCAGCCACUCGGGAAGCUGAGGCUGGAGGAUCGCUUGAGCCCAGGAGUUCUGGGCUGUAGUGCGCUAUGCUGAUCGGGUGUCUGCACUAAGUUCGGCAUCAAUAUGGUGACCUCUGGGGAGGGGGGAGGUUGCCUAAGGAGGGGUGAACCGGCCCAGGUUGGAAACGGAGCAGGUCAAAACUCCCGCGCUGAUCAGUAGUGGGAUCGCGCCUGUGAAUAGCCACUGCACUCCAGCCUGGGCAACAUAGUGAGACCCUGUCUCU